GCCCUCGUAGCUUAACAGUCUAAAGCACCGGUCUUGUAAUCCGGAAAUUGGAGGCUAGACUCCCCCCGAGUGCC
RNAcentral lists this transfer RNA (74 nucleotides) under Oreoglanis macroptera. Its description in RNAcentral is "tRNA-Thr". It matches the Rfam family "tRNA". Rfam says of the family: Transfer RNA (tRNA) molecules are approximately 80 nucleotides in length. Their secondary structure includes four short double-helical elements and three loops (D, anti-codon, and T loops). Further hydrogen bonds mediate the characteristic L-shaped molecular structure. tRNAs have two regions of fundamental functional importance: the anti-codon, which is responsible for specific mRNA codon recognition, and the 3' end, to which the tRNAs corresponding amino acid is attached (by aminoacyl-tRNA synthetases). tRNAs cope with the degeneracy of the genetic code in two manners: having more than one tRNA (with a specific anti-codon) for a particular amino acid; and 'wobble' base-pairing, i.e. permitting non-standard base-pairing at the 3rd anti-codon position. The record is from RNAcentral. Lineage: Eukaryota; Metazoa; Chordata; Actinopteri; Siluriformes; Sisoridae.